Beta vulgaris subsp. vulgaris (sugar beet) is the source of this 391-nucleotide long non-coding RNA. RefSeq lists it as uncharacterized. NCBI's taxonomy places the organism in Eukaryota, Viridiplantae, Streptophyta, Magnoliopsida, Caryophyllales, Amaranthaceae. The record is from RefSeq and is a predicted model, not a curated record. The transcript has 3 exons.
AGGUGCAUACUGGGAAGGUAAAAGUUCGAGCUUUAAGAGUCGGGAAGUUCAAGAAACAAGGCCAUCUUCUUCAAUCAAGGAAACAGAUCAAAAAGAAUCAAGAAUCCAGUCUUGAGGAGCAGUAGAAGUCGAGUUACACCAUUUACAAGUUAAGACUCUUGUGCAGGGAAAAGCAAGCUAAGGUAGUCCGAGGGAUGAGCUGUAGUGAAGUCAUGUCUCAACUGUCAUAGUGGAUGCAAGCUUGAACAUGAUCAUAUUUUGCAACUUACUUCUGCUCAUGAACACUGUUUAACUUUAUUUUAUAACUUUCUUUUGGGUCUGUAAUAACUAACUUAAUUUCAUAUGUGAUGAAUGUUUAUUUUAAGAUUAGCUCGUAGAGUCAAUUCAACCA